This 459-nucleotide ribosomal RNA is filed under the name uncultured bacterium. Its description in RNAcentral is "partial 16S ribosomal RNA". It matches the Rfam family "Bacterial small subunit ribosomal RNA", at positions 338 to 795 of the family's 1533-position model. The record is from RNAcentral.
CCUACGGGUGGCAGCAGUGGGGAAUAUUGGUCAAUGGGCGCAGGCCUGAACCAGCCAAGUCGCGUGAGGGAAGACUGCCCUAUGGGUUGUACACCUCUUUUAUAAGGGAAGAAUAAUGACUACGUGUAGUCAGAUGCCCGUACCUUAUGAAUAAGCAUCGGCUAACUCCGUGACAGCAGCCGCGGUAAUAAGGAGGAUGCGAGCGUUAUCCGGAUUUUUUUGGUUUAAAGGGUUCGUAGGCGGUAUUUUAAGUUAGUGGUAAAACGUCGGGGCUUAACCCUGAUGGGCCAUUUAAACUGGAGUACUAGAGUACAGACGAGGUAGGCGGAAUAAGUGAAGUAGCGGUGAAAUGCUUAGAUAUAACGUAGAACCCCGAUAGCGAAGGCAGCUUACCAGACUGUUACUGACGCGGAAGCACGAGAGCGUGGGUAGCGAACAGGAUUAGAUACCCGAGUAGUC